GUGCCAGCAGCCGCGGUAAUACGUAAGUGGCAAGCGUUAUCCGGAAUCACUGGGUGUAAAGGGUGUGUAGGCGGUAAUUUAAGUUUCGCGUUUAAAAUCAGGGCUCAACCCCGACAUGGCGCGAAAUACUGAAUUGCUUGAGUGACGAAGAGGAAGUUGGAACUCCAGGUGAAGCGGUGAAAUGUGUAGAUAUCUGGGGGAACACCAAUGGCGAAGGCAGGCUUCUGGUCGUCAACUGACGCUGAGACACGAAAGCGUGGGGAGCAAACAGGAUUAGAUACCCCGGUAGUCCUAGCCCUAAACGAUGGGCACUUGGUGUCGGGGGUAUUGAGUCCCCCGGUGCCGGAGUUAACACGUUAAGUGCCCCGCCUGGGGGAGUACGGUCGCAAGACUGAAACUCAAAGGAAUUGACGGGGGCCCGCACAAGCGGUGGAGCAUGUGGUUCAAUUCGACGCAACGCGAAGAACCUUACCGGGGCUCGAACGGCAACUGCUACUCCUGGGAAACAGGAGAUUCUCUUCGGAGACGGUUGUCGAGGUGCUGCAUGGCUGUCGUCAGCUCGUGUCGUGAGAUGUUGGGUUAAGUCCCGCAACGAGCGCAACCCUUACCCUUAGUUGCCAUCAGGUCAAGCUGGGCACCCUAAGGGAACUGUCGGCGAGAAGCCGGAGGAAGGUGGGGGAUGACGUCAAGUCCUCAUGGCCCUUACGUCCCGGGCUACACACGUGCUACAAUGGUCGGUACAAAGGGUUGCCAACCUGCGAAGGGGAGCUAAUCCCAAAAAGCCGACCCCAGUUCGGAUUGCAGUCUGCAACUCGACUGCA
RNAcentral lists this ribosomal RNA (821 nucleotides) under uncultured bacterium. Its description in RNAcentral is "bacterial SSU rRNA". It matches the Rfam family "Bacterial small subunit ribosomal RNA", at positions 505 to 1320 of the family's 1533-position model. The record is from RNAcentral.